UACGAAGGGGGCUAGCGUUGUUCGGAUUUACUGGGCGUAAAGCGCACGUAGGCGGAUCUUUAAGUCAGAGGUGAAAUCCCAAGGCUCAACCUUGGAACUGCCUUUGAUACUGGGGAUCUUGAGUCCGGGAGAGGUGAGUGGAACUGCGAGUGUAGAGGUGAAAUUCGUAGAUAUUCGCAAGAACACCAGUGGCGAAGGCGGCUCACUGGCCCGGUACUGACGCUGAGGUGCGAAAGCGUGGGGAUCAAACAGG
RNAcentral lists this ribosomal RNA (253 nucleotides) under uncultured bacterium. RNAcentral describes it as "partial 16S ribosomal RNA". It matches the Rfam family "Bacterial small subunit ribosomal RNA", at positions 524 to 776 of the family's 1533-position model. The record is from RNAcentral.